This is a non-coding RNA of Oncorhynchus mykiss (rainbow trout), 859 nucleotides long. Lineage: Eukaryota; Metazoa; Chordata; Actinopteri; Salmoniformes; Salmonidae. The record is from RefSeq and is a predicted model, not a curated record.
AAUGACUGAUUGCCCGGUUCAACGUCAGUUCACCGUCUCACCUCAUACUGUAUUGGAGCAGCAGCAGCUGACUUGAUCGUUGAUGCAUGUUUUGCAUGUUUUGAAUCUGAGAGUAAAUAGAGCCGAAUACAACUCUAAAAAUGAAGGGUUCAACUGGAGUUGUUGUCAGAUCCCCUAAGAACAGUAGGGUUCUUGGUCAAUGAAAAACAGCCCCAAAAGGUUCUUCAAAGAGCUUGUUAGAAGGUGGGUUCAUCGAGGAACCUCCGUUGUUGCUGGACUUCUUCCGGGAACUUCGCAAUUACAACUGAAAACGAUGGUGACAAGUUUGGAUGCGACAACAAGUUAAAAAGGACAGAACAUGGACACAAUGCAAUUGGGAUCAAGAAGAAGGUUCAGAUAUGUUGUAGGACAGCUGCAUUUGAAGUGAACAUUUAACCUACAUAGCAGUCAAAACAAACUGACAUCUAUUAGCAUACAAAUGUGUGCAAAUGAUCUUUUCAGAUCUUCUCAGAAAUUAAUCAAGUCCACGGAAUGGAUAUAGACAAAAAUAUAAUUCAAGGACUAGCAGAGGUAGAGAGGCGAGGCAGGGGUGAGGACAUCAUCCUGCUAUUUUGACAGUCCCUGAAGGACAAUACAGAAGAGGACUGGAGACCACAGCAGCGAUUCUGCUCUUGUCCUACCUCUUCAAUGAGGACCCGAGUGGCCUUUAUGUCCGUGACAAGAUUUCACCGCUCUUCAAUUCUUUACUGCACAUCGGCGGAAAUCCAUUUCACCAUGAGAGUGAAAUCCCGCUGGCCUUUGAUGGGGAGAACAUCCACGCCCUCGAGGACGUCCCCAUGGGACUUGGGGCUCUGCUAGU